RNAcentral lists this ribosomal RNA (443 nucleotides) under uncultured bacterium. RNAcentral's name for it is "partial 16S ribosomal RNA". It matches the Rfam family "Bacterial small subunit ribosomal RNA", at positions 338 to 795 of the family's 1533-position model. The record is from RNAcentral.
CCUACGGGAGGCAGCAGUGGGGAAUAUUGGGCAAUGGGCGCAAGCCUGACCCAGCAACGCCGCGUGAAGGAAGAAGGCUUUCGGGUUGUAAACUUCUUUUCUCAGGGACGAAGAAAGUGACGGUACCUGAGGAAUAAGCCACGGCUAACUACGUGCCAGCAGCCGCGGUAAUACGUAGGUGGCAAGCGUUAUCCGGAUUUACUGGGUGUAAAGGGCGGGUAGGCGGGAAAGCAAGUCAGAUGUGAAAACCAUGGGCUCAACCUGUGGCCUGCAUUUGAAACUGUUUUUCUUGAGUACGGGAGAGGCAGACGGGAGUGCUAGGGUAGCGGUGAAAGGCGGAGAUAUUAGGAGGAACACCAGUGGCGAAGGCGGUCUGCUGGACAGCAACUGACGCGGAGGCGCGAAAGCGGGGGGAGCAAACAGGAUGAGAUACCCCAGUAGUG